UGAGGAAUAUUGGUCAAUGGACGAGAGUCUGAACCAGCCAAGUAGCGUGAAGGAUGACUGCCCUAUGGGUUGUAAACUUCUUUUAUACGGGAAUAAAGUGAGGCACGUGUGCCUUUUUGUAUGUACCGUAUGAAUAAGGAUCGGCUAACUCCGUGCCAGCAGCCGCGGUAAUACGGAGGAUCCGAGCGUUAUCCGGAUUUAUUGGGUUUAAAGGGAGCGUAGGCGGACGCUUAAGUCAGUUGUGAAAGUUUGCGGCUCAACCGUAAAAUUGCAGUUGAUACUGGGUGUCUUGAGUACAGUAGAGGCAGGCGGAAUUCGUGGUGUAGCGGUGAAAUGCUUAGAUAUCACGAAGAACUCCGAUUGCGAAGGCAGCUUGCUGGACUGUAACUGACGCUGAUGCUCGAAAGUGUGGGUAUCAAACAGGAUUAGAUACCCUGGUAGUCCACACAGUAAACGAUGAAUACUCGCUGUUUGCGAUAUACAGUAAGCGGCCAAGCGAAAGCGUUAAGUAUUCCACCUGGGGAGUACGCCGGCAACGGUGAAACUCAAAGGAAUUGACGGGGGCCCGCACAAGCGGAGGAACAUGUGGUUUAAUUCGAUGAUACGCGAGGAACCUUACCCGGGCUUGAAUUGCAACUGAAUGAUGUGGAGACAUGUCAGCCGCAAGGCAGUUGUGAAGGUGCUGCAUGGUUGUCGUCAGCUCGUGCCGUGAGGUGUCGGCUUAAGUGCCAUAACGAGCGCAACCCUUAUCGAUAGUUACCAUCAGGUUAUGCUGGGGACUCUGUCGAGACUGCCGUCGUAAGAUGUGAGGAAGGUGGGGAUGACGUCAAAUCAGCACGGCCCUUACGUCCGGGGCUACACACGUGUUACAAUGGGGGGUACAGAGGGCAGCUACACGGCGACGUGAUGCUAAUCCCGAAAGCCUCUCUCAGUUCGGAUUGGAGUCUGCAACCCGACUCCAUGAAGCUGGAUUCGCUAGUAAUCGCGCAUCAGCCACGGCGCGGUGAAUACGUUCCC
This 1017-nucleotide ribosomal RNA is filed under the name uncultured organism. RNAcentral describes it as "bacterial SSU rRNA". It matches the Rfam family "Bacterial small subunit ribosomal RNA", at positions 355 to 1375 of the family's 1533-position model. The record is from RNAcentral.